Selaginella moellendorffii is the source of this 1800-nucleotide RNA transcript. RefSeq lists it as uncharacterized. The transcript is spliced from 7 exons. NCBI's taxonomy places the organism in Eukaryota, Viridiplantae, Streptophyta, Lycopodiopsida, Selaginellales, Selaginellaceae. The record is from RefSeq and is a predicted model, not a curated record.
GGGUUUAUUUAGGUCGGCCGGAUGGAUCGCGACGACGACGAUGACGACGUCGAUCCAGCGCCAGCAGCUCCGGCAAGAUUCCAGCAGCAGCAACGAGAUUGGAGUGCCUGGAGCAUCGAUGCGAUCGAGCUCCUCUUGCAGGCAUUCCUCAGGUAUCUGGGAGCGUUUGUGGAUUUUCUCGAUAGGAUCAUCAGCUAUUUCGAGGCGCCUCGCGAGGGAGAAAGAAGAGCGGGCCGGGAGCAGCAGCAGCGGCAGCAACAACAACAACAGGGAAGCAGCGUAUGGAUGCGCGUUCUCCAGUGGCUGGGCAGUGGCGUCAGGAAUCUUCCCCAGGACCGAAGCUCGCUAUGGAUGCCCAGCGUCGCGAUGCUACUCGUGUGCUUCGUAUUUCUAGGCUUUAGAACGGGCUUUCGACUCUUUAGAAUCGUGGAAGUUGUCCAAGAACAAGUAGAACCCGAGAAAACACCGUCCAAGCGGCUCCUGCUACCAGAUGGGAGGUACAUAGCUUACAGAGAGCUAGGGGUCAGUGUAGAAAAAUCCAAGCACUCUGGAUUAGUGGUACGGGGAUUAACAGCUUUUAGAGAGACAGGCAUUCCCGGACUGAACGAUUCUUUGCUGGAACAGUUUCAAGUUUGUCUGAUCACAUACGACUUGCCGGGAUUCGGGCUGAGUGAUCCUAAUCCCAAUAGAACAUUUAACUCUUCCGCACAGGACAUGGAACUCAUUGCCAACGCACUGAGACUCGGCGAGAGGUUUUGGUUGCUGGUACAUCCUGGUGGCGGUCCCUAUGCGUGGGCAGCAAUCAGAUAUAUUCCAGAGCGACUAUCAGGUGUUGUGAUGCUGGCUCCAGUUGGAAACCCGUCUAAGGCCGGGGACGUGAGUGAGAUCGAGGAAGAUGGAACUGAUUCUGAGGAACUGUCGUCCGGAUGGAGGUUCCUAGCACGAGUUCUUGGAAUUGGCCGAUUUUUUCCCAUUCGAAAGGAGUUGAAGAAGAAGAUAACAAAGAUACACAAAGGAUUGUAUACGACUGUAGCUGACAAGGAACAAGUUUUGUUCGAGCAGAGGGAAUUUAUAAAUUUUUGGGAGCAAAACCUUCGCUACACAGCGCCAGACGCAGUCCCGAGAGCAGCAGCAGCGCCUAAACCGCCAGCGGCUGAGAGACGGAGCCACCCUGAUUUUAGCAAAUUUUUCAAGAUCAGGCUCAAGUUUCCUUCAGUGCCAGUGCGUCCAGCGUUCCGACUUGUGAAGAGCUUCAUAAUGUGGUGGUGGCCGAGACAAACUAAGAAGGAGCCAACGGAUGAUGCUGCUGUUGCUCCUGAUGCUGCCGCCAGCUUUGGAACGCCGUUGCCUCCAAAUCUACUGAGUGAGACUUGGGAAGCCUUCAAACUCAAGCUCGGCUUAGUCGUGGUGCUGCUGGUGAUCUCGCUCUUGGUCCUCAGAUAACGCACGCACACCUCUCUAGAGCCGAGCAGAGACAGACAGACACUGAUGCCUCACUCCGAGACAAGAGUCGUAUCAGAGGACCAAAUUACACCUACGGAUUGUUUUAAGCUGUCACCAGAAAGGAGAUAACGCAAGAAUCUACCGCAAACAUAAUCUUGACUCGAGGAUUGGCGCGAGACCGUCAGAAGGGAUGGUGUUUAUAAAGGUCACGACGAGUUUUCUGAUCUUUUGUGGUAGGCACGCUGGAGUCGUGGGCUGCUAGCUAUUUACCGUACAAAAGCCAGAGACUUCUAAGGUGCCUUAACGAAUAUCCACCACCUCCUUUCUCUUCAGAGAACUGGUACGUUGUGCCUUGUA